GGGUGGUUAGCUCAGCUGGCAGAGCAACGGACUCUUAAUCCGUGGGUCCAGGGUUCG
This is a transfer RNA of 57 nucleotides. It matches the Rfam family "tRNA", at positions 1 to 55 of the family's 71-position model. From Rfam's summary of the family: Transfer RNA (tRNA) molecules are approximately 80 nucleotides in length. Their secondary structure includes four short double-helical elements and three loops (D, anti-codon, and T loops). The record is from Rfam.